GCCUGGGUGGCUCAGUUGGUUGAGCAUCUGACUCUUGAUUUCGGUUCGGGUCAUCUCAGAGUUCGUGGGUUCAAGCCUCACACUAGUCU
Molecule: transfer RNA, 89 nt
Filed under: Felis catus (domestic cat)
Lineage: Eukaryota; Metazoa; Chordata; Mammalia; Carnivora; Felidae
Rfam family: tRNA
About the family: Transfer RNA (tRNA) molecules are approximately 80 nucleotides in length. Their secondary structure includes four short double-helical elements and three loops (D, anti-codon, and T loops).
Source: Rfam by way of RNAcentral